Long non-coding RNA from Rosa chinensis, 751 nucleotides. RefSeq lists it as uncharacterized. NCBI's taxonomy places the organism in Eukaryota, Viridiplantae, Streptophyta, Magnoliopsida, Rosales, Rosaceae. The transcript has 5 exons. The record is from RefSeq and is a predicted model, not a curated record.
AGAUGCUGAUAGCAUUGCUCGAUAACAUAUAUGGGAAAUGGCUGGACAUAAUUUCUUCUACAAGAGGUGCUUUGAGAUUUGGUUUUUGGCUAAUCUGAUAUGAUCAUGUUGUUCAGUUGUUGAAAUUUGAUGUGAAAGUCAUCAGGGGAGUGGUUGUUCUUGAAAGUUUUUUUCCCCCUCUUUAUGUGAUGAUAUACAGGAAGCAUUUAAGUAAUAUUGAUUCUCUUGCUUGACAUGCCCUGGUGGUGAUGCCCUUGCUUCUGAUUUGAUGUGGAGGGAAAUCAAACUUUUGGCUGCAUCAAAACCGGACAUCGAAUCAAUGUCUGACGUGGCAGCAAGUGGAGGAUACUAUAUGGCAAUGGCAGCAGAUGCCAUUGUUGCAGAAAAUUUAACCUUAACUAGUUCCAUUGGAGUUGUCACAGGUAAGUUUAACCUGGGAAAACUGUAUAAGAAGAUUGGCUUCGACAAGGAAAUCAUAUCAAGGGGAAUUUGCAGAGGUUCUUGCAGCUGAACAAUGACCCUUUAAACUAGAGGAAGCUGAACUCUUUGCUAAGUCUGCACAGAAUUCGUAUAAGCAAUUUCAGGACAAGGCAGCUUCUUCCAAAUCAAUGACUAUAGAAAAAAUGGAGGAAGUUGCACAAGGGAGAGUUUGGGCAGGUAAAGAUGCAGCUUUAAGGGAUUUAGUUAAUGCUAUUGGUGGACUUUCUCAGGUUGUUGCAAUAGCAAAGCUCAAGGCAAAUAUACCACAAGA